AAGGUCAGGCCUGCCCUAUGAAAUGAAUAGUUUUAAAUGGCUGCAGUAGACUGACUGUGCAAAGGUAGCAUAAUAAUUAGUUUUUUAAUUGGGAACUGGCAUGAAUGGUCUCACGAGAAAAAGACUGUCUCGAUUUAAUUUAAAUUAGAAUUUUAUUUUUAAGUAAAAAAGCUUAAAUGAUCUUAAAAGACGAGAAGACCCUAUAGAGUUUUAUAAAGUUUUGUAAUUUUAAAAGUUAAAGUAUUGUAGAUUUAAUCUUAUAGGAUUUUAUUUGGUUGGGGAGAUUAAAAAAUUAAAAGAACUUUUUUUAUUGUAUACCAUUGAUAUAUGAAUAAGUGAUCCA
RNAcentral lists this ribosomal RNA (343 nucleotides) under Canthodimorpha lawrencei. Its description in RNAcentral is "partial 16S ribosomal RNA". The record is from RNAcentral. Lineage: Eukaryota; Metazoa; Arthropoda; Insecta; Coleoptera; Scarabaeidae.